GAUGAACGCUGGCGGCGUGCUUAACACAUGCAAGUCGAACGGAAAGGCCCAAGCUUUCUUGCUUACUCGAUUGGCGAACGGGUGAGUAUCACGUGUGUGAUCUGCCCUUCACUUCGUGAGAUGCCUGGGAAACUCGGUCUAUUACAGCAUAGAACAACAUUUUGGGUGGGGUGGUGGAGAGAUUUUCGGUGUUGGAUGAGCUUGCGGCCUAUCAGCCUGUUGGUGGGGUAGUGGCUUACCAAGGCGUAGACGGGUAGCCGGACUGAGAGGGUGUACGGCGACAUUGGGACUGAGAGGCGGCACAGGUAGCGACGGGAGGGAGAAGUGGGGAAGCUUGAACGAUGGGCGCAAGGCGGAUGCAGCGAGGCCGCGGGGGGGAUGACGGCGUUAGGGUUGAAAAAUACAUGCGUAAGGGACGAAGCGUUAUGUGACGGUACCUGGAGAAGAAGCCACGGCUAACUACGUG
Molecule: ribosomal RNA, 466 nt
Filed under: uncultured bacterium
Lineage: Bacteria
Description: partial 16S ribosomal RNA
Rfam family: Bacterial small subunit ribosomal RNA
Source: RNAcentral